CAGCCGCCGCGGUAAUACGAAGGUGGCAAGCGUUGUCCGGAAUUAUUGGGCGUAAAGCGCGCGCAGGUGGUUUAAUAAGUCUGAUGUGAAAGCCCACGGCUCAACCGUGGAGGGUCAUUGGAAACUGUUAAACUUGAGUGCAGGAGAGAAAAGUGGAAUUCCUAGUGUAGCGGUGAAAUGCGUAGAGAUUAGGAGGAACACCAGUGGCGAAGGCGGCUUUUUGGCCUGUAACUGACACUGAGGCGCGAAAGCGUGGGGAGCAAACAGGAUUAGAUACCCGUGUAGUCCCUGUCUCUUAUAC
Molecule: ribosomal RNA, 301 nt
Filed under: uncultured bacterium
Lineage: Bacteria
Description: partial 16S ribosomal RNA
Rfam family: Bacterial small subunit ribosomal RNA
Source: RNAcentral